GACGAACGCUGGCGGCGUGCUUAACACAUGCAAGUCGAGCGGUAAGGCCCUUUCGGGGGUACACGAGCGGCGAACGGGUGAGUAACACGUGGGUGACCUGCCCUCAGCUCUGGGAUAAGCCUGGGAAACCGGGUCUAAUACCGGAUAUGACUCCAUGACGCAUGUUGUGGGGUGGAAAGCCUUGUGCGGCUGAGGAUGGGCCCGCGGCCUAUCAGCUUGUUGGUGGGGUGAUGGCCUACCAAGGCGACGACGGGUAGCCGCCCUGAGAGGGCGACCGGCCACACUGGGACUGAGACACGGCCCAGACUCCUACGGGAGGCAGCAGUGGGGAAUCUUGCGCAAUGGGCGAAAGCCUGACGCAGCGACGCCGCGUGAGGGAUGACGGCCUCGGUGUAA
This 396-nucleotide ribosomal RNA is filed under the name uncultured bacterium. RNAcentral describes it as "bacterial SSU rRNA". It matches the Rfam family "Bacterial small subunit ribosomal RNA", at positions 28 to 428 of the family's 1533-position model. The record is from RNAcentral.